AGUGAACGCUGGCGGCAGGCCUAAUACAUGCAAGUCGAACGGCAGCACAGCAGAGCUUGCUCUGUGGGUGGCGAGUGGCGGACGGGUGAGGAAUACGUGGGAAUCUGCCCAGUCGUGGGGAUAACGUAGGGAAACUUACGCUAAUACCGCAUGCGCCCUUCGGGGGAAAGCCGGGGACCUUCGGGCCUGGCGCGAUUGGAUGAGCCCACGUCGGAUUAGCUAGUUGGCGGGGUAAAGGCCCACCAAGGCGACGAUCCGUAGCUGGUCUGAGAGGAUGAUCAGCCACACUGGAACUGAGACACGGUCCAGACUCCUACGGGAGGCAGCAGUAGGGAAUAUUGGACAAUGGGCGCAAGCCUGAUCCAGCCAUGCCGCGUGAGUGAAGAAGGCCCUCGGGUUGUAAAGCUCUUUUGUCCGGAAAGAAAGCGCCGGGUUAAUACCCUGGUGUCCUGACGGUACCGGAAGAUAAGCACCGGCUAACUUCGUGCCAGCAGCCGCGGUAAU
RNAcentral lists this ribosomal RNA (504 nucleotides) under uncultured bacterium. RNAcentral describes it as "bacterial SSU rRNA". It matches the Rfam family "Bacterial small subunit ribosomal RNA", at positions 29 to 524 of the family's 1533-position model. The record is from RNAcentral.